Non-coding RNA from Poecilia reticulata (guppy), 499 nucleotides. Lineage: Eukaryota; Metazoa; Chordata; Actinopteri; Cyprinodontiformes; Poeciliidae. The record is from RefSeq and is a predicted model, not a curated record.
CCCUCCUAAAAAAGCAUUUCCCACAUGGAACCGAGGUCCUAUAUAAGUGCAGCAAUGGAUUUGAAAAAGAAAGUGGCUCUGAGAACAUAACCUGCGUUGAAGGGAAAUGGACUGAGACAGAUCUAAUCUGCACGAAAAAUCCACCUCGUGUGGCCAUUGUUGCGAUAGUUUGCUCCAUAGUUGGAAUUUUUAUAAAUUAUCUUGUGAGAAGACAAUGACACUGGAGAAGAGCUGACVCCAGAGUUAUUACAGUUCCAAACUCUAAGUGUCCUUCUUCAUUCAGUUGGACCCAUCUCUAAGGACAUCUACUACAGAUGAAGGACUGGCAAACUCUGAGUGCCUUACCAAGCCUUGGACAAAGCAAGCAGGCUCCCUUUUAUCAUUUUAUAUUUUUUUCACUUUCAAAAGAAGAAAACCAAACGUCAUGAAGGGCAUUGUAUUGUGUCAAAGCUUAAUUUUUAGAGGCACUUUUUGUGCAGUAAUUAUUGCACAUUAUAUU